Molecule: long non-coding RNA, 4221 nt
Organism: Rosa rugosa (rugosa rose)
Lineage: Eukaryota; Viridiplantae; Streptophyta; Magnoliopsida; Rosales; Rosaceae
Exons: 4
Source: RefSeq, a predicted model, not a curated record
AGAAAGAGAACUAGAGUUCUCUCUGACCCGAAACGCGACCCGGAGACCUGCAAAGAGGAUCCGACCGGGGCUACUCUUUCCGGCCACCUCACAGCGGCGGACCACCGGAAUUCUCUUCGUAUCGACGUCGCCGUCACGCCUGUGGCCUCGGAUCGUACAUGCACCGGCUGUAGACGGAGGACCGACGACUGGAAGCCCCGAACUUUCUCCGACAACCUCUGCAAUUUCCGGCGACUCCGGUCACCGAUUGGCCUGCAUGAGACGAUCCAUUCUUCGUACUCUACACGCUGGUGUACCUAAUCCUUGAGCUCGACCAAGUUUUGGAGAAGCAGUGUUUGGGUAUACUCGGCCUCCACCGAGAUUUGGUAAGAUUGGGAAAUAGUCGAGAGAAGUGGGAAACUCUAGCUUGCUGUGUUCGUCAUCGGACGCAGACCUGCAAAAUUUGGAUUUUUGUUCCUGGUCAAGUUUGAUUACAAGGAUUUCCAGUUACCCGAGGAAUGGAAGGUUCGUGAAUCUCGGACAACGUAAAAGGUUAAAGCAUCGGAAUCCAAGUAGGGGACUCAGGACUCAUUCGGUUAGUUGUUUUCCAUUUUGAAUUAAAUGUUUAUGCAUAUUUGAGUUGCAUGGUUUGGUUAUUGAUCGCUUGAGAGUGAGUGGAACAUAGCGAUUCCUUGGGCUUCGAUCCCCUAAACCUCCGGAGGAGCCGUAUGGACGGAAUGGUGUCUGACAUCCUCUGAGAUGUGGCACUAUUUCUAGGUGAUAUGGCGUAAGUGGACACUCUCACUAUGCUUACCUGGUGAUGAUUUUAUUUGAGGUAAGGCCCUGUAGUUGGUCCAUGGGAUUGGCCAUCAGGUAUUAUGCAUUUCUUUGAGUUUCGUGCAUUGGAUUUUGAGUCCGAAAGAUAUUUAAAGUUUGUCGUUCUUUAAAGAAAUGGUUUAACUUUUUCAUACUGGGAUCCCAAAUUAUUAUCUUAUGUGUCGGUUUUCAAACCUAGUCGGGUGAAGCCCCUAUUGAGUAGCGAGGACGAAAGCUCACCCCUACAAUAGUGUGGUUGCAAGUACUAUGCACUGGAAAUGGGAUUGGAGCGGACGGAGUUGGGUGUGCAGAUUUCAAUAGAAGUCAGGUUCUGGGUUCCAAUCUUAUUCCUGUUCCUUAAAAUUGUAUUUUCGGAACUUGUCACAAUUUGUUUGUUAUAUGCUAAGUCCUUUAUUCCUCGGUUGUUUACAACGUUAAGUCCUGGACGAACUUUUGAAUUUAAAGUUUUAGAAAGGUUUUCACCUCAAAAGAAUUUAAAAGCUUCCGUUGCGAAUUUUUGUCAAAAUUUAUUUCGAACAAAUGCCUAGCGAAUUUCUAGAAUGUAAAUCGAAUUUUCGGUUUAAGUUUUAGAGACUCGCGGCACUGUAACGUACUCAAGCUGGUGAGGUGUAGUUUGGGGCGUUACAUCUCCCCUGCCGAGUGCAACACCUGCAUAAGCAAGAUUUCCCCUUUUGUCAGCCAACUCUGCUGAAAACCUCCACCGAUUAAUUAGCCCUCUGCUUUUCUCUCUCUUAUCAUGCAUUUCUUCUCAUGAACCCACCCAUCUUAGAUAGAACCAAAGGUUGGUAGAAUUGAAGAUUUCAAGCAAAUUUCCUUCCAUGAGAGAGAGAGAAGAUUUGGAAACUGUGGCAAAGAAGAAGUCAAAACGGGGGGGGAGAGAGAGAGAGAGAGGGACCCCACUUAUUUUUUUGCCUCAGCAGCAAUUAAAAAAAUAGAUAAAAUAGUAGGUAUUUAUGAAAAUCAAUAUAAGCCGUUGGAUCAUGAUUUUAUACACGUGUCACUUUGACAUUGAAAGCUUAGGCAAGCUAGGAAGAUAAGGAAUUUAGGAGCAUAGAACUUUGCUGAAGGCUAGACUCCUCGUCUUGUUUGUGGAAAUUAAAAAAUGAGAUGAGUCAUUUUCUUUAGAGAAAAAUGCACCAUCAGUGCCUCAACUCUUGUGCACCGGCCAAGUUGAUACUCGGACUCUCAAUUGUAUCAAUGUGAUACCUGAACCCAUAUUUUGCUAUCAACGAGGUACUUCCGUCAAAUUUCUCAAACGGGAACGUUAAAAAAGUCACGUGCCAAUCACAUGGGCCCAAAAAAAAGGGCAAAUACGUCUUUUUGCCCAAAUGCAGCCCAAUUUUUUUUUUUACACAAUUUUCUCUCUCUUCUUCUUCUUCUUCUUCUUCUUCUUCCUCCUCCUCUGUUUAGUCGUUCAGUCCAAUGAAGAAGGUAAAGACAGAGACCAGAAACGAAAUCUUGCAGCGGCUAUCACAAGACAAUCCUUUGGCCUUGUCACUAUCCCUACUUUUAUUAAACACCAAAGAUGUGAACAUCGAUGAAAGCCUCUGCUUCCCCAUCAUCGCCGCCGCCGCCGUAAGCCACGAAUUGGGCUUUUUGGGCCGCGGCUCAUUCUCCUUCUUCUCCACCUUCUUCCUCCUCCUGGGCCUCAUAUCGCCGUCUGAUUCAUCCGACGACGUCGUCGAUGAAGUCCCCGAACGGGUCCAGUCCUCUUCCUCGCCGUCGUCGCGGUACCCUAGGCCGCCGUCGUCCUCGAUGAAGUCCCCGAACUCCUCGCGGCGCUUGGCGAUGAUCGCGUCGUAGAUCGGCUUCUCCAUCUUGAUCUGGAACCGGUCGUCGGCGUUUUUGGAGAGGCGGCCGCCUUGCCGGCUGGUACAGGCUGCCAGUACGUCGCCGCCUCCGCCCCACCAGAGCCUCGAGUUCACCGUCAAGUCGUUGUAAGUGAUUUCUGGGCAAGCAUUGAUUAAUGGGUUUUUGAUCUAGCUCCUAAGGAAAGAAAGCAUAAAGCUUGAGUCUAUGUUUAACAUAUGGUGUUUUGAUUUUGAAUGAUGUCAAAUGCCAAUUGAUUGGAUAAUAUAUUGUUUUCCAGAUUUGGUUUUGGUUUGUUAUCGAAUUUCAAUUUUGGUCAAGACUUGCAAGUGGAAUUGCUACAAUUUAAUUUGAAGCUCUAAGAUUUUUGGGAUAAUGGAGCACCUGCAUCUGUUUGCGUCUGGUUUACAAUGGCAAUGCAUUCAUACCAUCUGCAUUCUGGGCCCUUUUCUUUAUCUUCUUCAACCUCACUUUCCCUCAUUAAUUUGCUUCGUACCCUGUUGAAGGUUUGUGUACAAUUUGUUGGGUUUUGGUUGUGAUUGGAGAACUGGGUUUUGGCAAUUUGUUGAGUUUUGGUUGUGAUUAGAGAACUGGGUUUUAGUUUAAUAGAGCAUUGCUUUAGUAAAGUUUGGAACUUUGGAUUGAGCUGAAAUCGAAAUCGCAUUGAACAUUUUGUAUGCUUAAACUUAGAGCUGAGGUAGUGGAGGUCGGAGAGGCAGGCGGUUCUGGAAAAUGACGACGGAGGGAAUGGUGGUCAUCCCCUAUGGAAAAUGGCGGGAAAUCAAGGUCUGAUAGAGUCUGGGGUCAUUUAAGUCAUUUCAUGGCAUUUUUAGGGUCCACAUGUUUGCCACGUCAGACAUCUGACGGAGCCGUCAGUGAAAUGUGACGGAAGUACCUCGUAGAUAGCAAAAUAUGGGUUCAGGUAUCACAUUGAUACAAUUGAGAGUCCGGGUAUCAACUUGGUCGGUGCACAAGAGUUGAGGCACUAAUGGUGCAUUUUUCUCUUUUCUUUACUAUGGCGGGUGAGACGAGAAAAUGGCCAAAUAUUAAGAUCCAGUCUUCAGUGUUCCCAGGAAAUAAUGGCUCCAAAGAUUGAAUAAUCUCUGUAACCCAAAAAAAAAAAAAAAAAAGAAUGAAUAAUCUCCAUGCAUGCUUGGUCUUUAGUUAGACCUGUGAUUUACUUCAAGAACCAGGCUGGCUGAAACAAAAUUAUAGUUAAAUUAUAACUUAGUAUAUAACCAAUUAAGAACCAUGAUGAGAUAGUAAAAACUACAUGAGGACCUGGGUACGUAUCUUAAAUGUUGAAUGUCUUUAGUUAGCUAUUCAAUCUAGGGAUUCGAUUUAUGGCUAUUUACUGUUAAACGUUUACUUUGUAAGACUUUAAAAUUAUCAUAAAUCCUUUCAAAAAAAAAUUAUCAUAAACAAGUGUAUGUUGUAAUUGCAGUUUUAAUGAAUGAUAUUUCACUUGAUCAAAAAAAAAAAAAAAAAACAAGUGUAUGUUAUUUCGAUAGAAAAUGUGUAAGUGUAUUUUAAUUUGUCUUUUGGAAUUGAUUGAAUUUGUAUCUAUGAGACUAUGACAUUAAGAUGUAACUUAGU